This 238-nucleotide ribosomal RNA is filed under the name uncultured bacterium. Its description in RNAcentral is "partial 16S ribosomal RNA". It matches the Rfam family "Bacterial small subunit ribosomal RNA", at positions 96 to 334 of the family's 1533-position model. The record is from RNAcentral.
CGGCGAACGGGUGAGUAACACGUGAGCAACCUGCCCCGAAGACUGGGAUAACACCGGGAAACCGGUGCUAAUACCGGAUGUCCUUCUCUGGUCGCAUGGCCUAAGAAGGAAAGGAAUUUUGCUUCGGGAGGGGCUCGCGGGCUAUCAGCUUGUUGGUGAGGUAACGGCUCACCAAGGCGACGACGGCUAGCUGGUCUGAGAGGACGACCCGCCACACUGGGACUGAGACACGGCCCAG